GACGAACGCUGGCGGCGUGCUUAACACAUGCAAGUCGAACGAAGAGCGAUGGACUCUUGCUUCUAUCAAUCUUAGUGGCGCACGGGUGAGUAACGCGUAAUCAACCUGCCCUUCAGAGGGGGACAACAGUUGGAAACGACUGCUAAUACCGCAUACGAUCUAACCUCGGCAUCGAGGAAAGAUGAAAGGUGGCCUCUAUGUAUAAGCUAUCACUGAAGGAGGGGAUUGCGUCUGAUUAGCUAGUUGGAGGGGUAACGUCCCACCAAGGCGAUGAUCAGUAGCCGGGCUGAGAGGAUGAACGGCCACAUUGGGACUGAGACACGGCCCAGACUCCUACGGGAGGCAGCAGUGGGGAAUCUUCCGCAAUGGACGAAAGUCUGACGGAGCAACGCCGCGUGAGUGAUGACGGCCUUCGGGUUGUAAAGCUCUGUUAAUCGGGACGAAAGGCCUUCUUGCGAAUAGUGAGAAGGAUUGACGGUACCGGAAUAGAAAGCCACGGCUAACUACGUG
RNAcentral lists this ribosomal RNA (510 nucleotides) under uncultured bacterium. RNAcentral's name for it is "partial 16S ribosomal RNA". It matches the Rfam family "Bacterial small subunit ribosomal RNA", at positions 28 to 507 of the family's 1533-position model. The record is from RNAcentral.